GAAGGAAAUUAAGUACGGAAGUUCCUGAUUUCACGCUGUCAAGAAAAGCCUCUAGGAAGAGUAGUACUGCCCGUACCGCAAACCGACACAGGUAGAUGAGGAGAGAAUCCUAAGGUGAGCGAGAGAACUCUCGUUAAGGAACUCGGCAAAAUGACCCCGUAACUUCGGGAGAAGGGGUGCUCUAUUAGGGUGCAAGCCCGAGAGAGCCGCAGUGAAUAGGCCCAGGCGACUGUUUAGCAAAAACACAGGUCUCUGCAAAACCGUAAGGUGACGUAUAGGGGCUGACGCCUGCCCGGUGCUGGAAGGUUAAGAGGAGUGCUUAGCUUCGGCGAAGGUACGAAUUGAAGCCCCAGUAAACGGCGGCCGUAACUAUAACGGUCCUAAGGUAGCGAAAUUCCUUGUCGGGUAAGUUCCGACCCGCACGAAAGGCGCAACGAUCUGGGCACUGUCUCAACGAGAGACUCGGUGAAAUUAUAGUACCUGUGAAGAUGCAGGUUACCCGCGACAGGACGGAAAGACCCCGUGGAGCUUUACUGCAACCUGAUAUGGAAUGUUUGUACCGCUUGUACAGGAUAGGUAGGAGCCG
RNAcentral lists this ribosomal RNA (586 nucleotides) under Listeria monocytogenes. Its description in RNAcentral is "bacterial LSU rRNA". It matches the Rfam family "Bacterial large subunit ribosomal RNA", at positions 1570 to 2156 of the family's 2925-position model. Lineage: Bacteria; Bacillati; Bacillota; Bacilli; Caryophanales; Listeriaceae. The record is from RNAcentral.